RNAcentral lists this transfer RNA (76 nucleotides) under Candidatus Krumholzibacteriia bacterium. Its description in RNAcentral is "tRNA-Gln". It matches the Rfam family "tRNA". Rfam says of the family: Transfer RNA (tRNA) molecules are approximately 80 nucleotides in length. The record is from RNAcentral. Lineage: Bacteria; Candidatus Krumholzibacteriota; Candidatus Krumholzibacteriia. RNAcentral also lists the same sequence under 1 other name.
UGGGGCGUCGUCAAGUGGCUAAGACACAUGGUUUUGGUCCAUGCAUUCGCAGGUUCGAGUCCUGCCGCCCCAACCA